This is a long non-coding RNA of Triticum dicoccoides, 186 nucleotides long. RefSeq lists it as uncharacterized. The record is from RefSeq and is a predicted model, not a curated record. The transcript is spliced from 3 exons. Lineage: Eukaryota; Viridiplantae; Streptophyta; Magnoliopsida; Poales; Poaceae.
CCCGGGCCGCCCCCGCCCGUCCACGCGCCGCCCGGGCGAACCGUGAAAUCAUGUCUGGAUGAAUUGUUGCCAGCUGGGUCAUGGCCGUCGGGGUGCUAUUCAGGUCCAAUGGCUCGAUGUGGGGAUUCCGAAUUUACUUGCCGAGUUGAGUGCCAAGGAUUUGAACUUGUGAUGCAUUAAGGCAAG